RNAcentral lists this ribosomal RNA (413 nucleotides) under uncultured bacterium. RNAcentral describes it as "bacterial SSU rRNA". It matches the Rfam family "Bacterial small subunit ribosomal RNA", at positions 505 to 916 of the family's 1533-position model. The record is from RNAcentral.
GUGUCAGCCGCCGCGGUAAGACGUAGGGGGCGAGCGUUGUCCGGAAUUACUGGGCGUAAAGGGCACGUAGGCGGGAAUUUAAGUCAGGUGUGAAAGACCGCAGCUUAACUGCGGGGUUGCACAUGAAACUGAAUUUCUUGAGGGCAGGAGAGGAAAGUAGAAUUCCUGGUGUAGCGGUGAAAUGCGUAGAAAUCAGGAGGAAUACCGGUGGCGAAGGCGACUUUCUGGACUGACCCUGACGCUGAUGUGCGAAAGCGUGGGUAGCAAACAGGAUUAGAUACCCUGGUAGUCCACGCUGUAAACGAUGGAUACUAGGUGUAGGAGGUAUCGACCCCUUCUGUGCCGCAGCUAACGCAAUAAGUGCCCCGCCUGGGGAGUACGGCCGCAAGGUUGAAACUUAAAGGAAUUGACGG